RNAcentral lists this ribosomal RNA (552 nucleotides) under uncultured bacterium. Its description in RNAcentral is "bacterial SSU rRNA". It matches the Rfam family "Bacterial small subunit ribosomal RNA", at positions 8 to 608 of the family's 1533-position model. The record is from RNAcentral.
AGAGUUUGAUCCUGGCUCAGAACGAACGCUGGCGGCAGGCUUAACACAUGCAAGUCGAACGCCCCGCAAGGGGAGUGGCAGACGGGUGAGUAACGCGUGGGAAUCUACCCAACUCUACGGAAUAACUCAGGGAAACUUGUGCUAAUACCGUAUACGCCCUUCGGGGGAAAGAUUUAUCGGAGUUGGAUGAGCCCGCGUUGGAUUAGCUAGUUGGUGGGGUAAAGGCCUACCAAGGCGACGAUCCAUAGCUGGUCUGAGAGGAUGAUCAGCCACAUUGGGACUGAGACACGGCCCAAACUCCUGCGGGAGGCAGCAGUGGGGAAUAUUGGACAAUGGGCGCAAGCCUGAUCCAGCCAUGCCGCGUGAGUGAUGAAGGCCCUAGGGUUGUAAAGCUCUUUCACCGGUGAAGAUAAUGACGGUAACCGGAGAAGAAGCCCCGGCUAACUUCGUGCCAGCAGCCGCGGUAAUACGAAGGGGGCUAGCGUUGUUCGGAAUUACUGGGCGUAAAGCGCACGUAGGCGGGUAUUUAAGUCAGGGGUGAAAUCCCAGAGC